This is a non-coding RNA of Podarcis muralis (Common wall lizard), 328 nucleotides long. NCBI's taxonomy places the organism in Eukaryota, Metazoa, Chordata, Lepidosauria, Squamata, Lacertidae. The record is from RefSeq and is a predicted model, not a curated record.
CGCUGGCCCCCGGCCUAUAGAGUGAGAUGGGCGCACAACCCUAGAGUCUGGUUGCUGGAGUCCAGAUCCUACCAGCCAGCAUGACCACGGUGAACAGUGAUGGGAGUUGAUGUCAAGCUACAUCUGAAGGCCCACAGAUGCUCCAUCCUUGUUUACCCCAUUGAAUGCAUGAAUGCAGAACUGGGUACAAGUAUGGCUCCAGGUCCAGCAAAAGAGUUGGUCAUCCUUAACUCACUGCAGGGCAAUUCCCAGUUCCAGCUGUGAUGCUUGCUUUGUAAAAGUGCCUCUCUAUUGAAUCUUUGUGAAAGGUAAGGAAACUAUUAAAUUG